Molecule: ribosomal RNA, 201 nt
Filed under: uncultured eukaryote
Lineage: Eukaryota
Description: partial 28S ribosomal RNA
Rfam family: Eukaryotic large subunit ribosomal RNA
Source: RNAcentral
GUGAACAACUCACCUGCCGAAGUAACUAGCCCUGAAAAUGAAUGGCGCUCAAGCAUCCUCUCGAUACUCGAACGUCGGGGCAGUAACGGCUUGUGUGGGUCUCGAAGCCCCGACGAGUAGGAGGGUCAUGGCGGUGAGUGUUGAAGGGACCGGCAUGAACUGGCCUGGAGCCACAUUAGUGCAGAUCUUGGUGGUAGUAGC